ACGGGUGUAGGCCAGUGGAAAGCCGACUGCCUUUGAAGCAGUAGAGCGAAGGUUCGAAUCCUUCCGCCCGUA
Molecule: transfer RNA, 72 nt
Filed under: Pirellulaceae bacterium
Lineage: Bacteria; Pseudomonadati; Planctomycetota; Planctomycetia; Pirellulales; Pirellulaceae
Description: tRNA-Gln
Rfam family: tRNA
About the family: Transfer RNA (tRNA) molecules are approximately 80 nucleotides in length.
Source: RNAcentral